CAGGGAAGACUGCAAAGGCCAGAGAUCAUUUUCACAACUAAAGGUCGUCAUCUGGGCAAAUGAACCACUCUGACUUGGAGAUUAGGGGCUCAGACAGCCGUGGAUGAGAGUCCAGCUCUACUACUUAUUAGCCUUGAUUAGCCCACAGUGACUUUCCAAAACUUUGACCCCUCUGCCAGGACCUUCUCGACAUCCACCUCUAAUUCUCAGAAGGAGACCUUACUUCCUACAUCUGUGAGAAAACUGAGGACUGCACAUGUGAACCACCUUAACCUUCUGCCCCACCCCCCCCCAUUCAUUCCUUGACUCAUUUAACAAAUAUUUUUUCAACACCUGUUAUGUAACAAGCUCUAUGCGAGGUGCUGGGGAUGAAAUAAAUAACAAACACGCUCUACAUUCAUGAGGCUUACUGUCUGGUGAUGGAUAAAGCUGUAUAAAGAUGACUAAUAAGAGGUCUAACUAUCUUCAUGCUGCAAAACAACCCAAACUACUGCAUGCUCCAGUUGACUGUCACUGCCGAGACCAGCUUCUGAGUAAUUUCAGCCCAGGCAUCAGACUAGUGAGGGAAGGAGCUUCCAGGUGAUACCACCUCCCAGCCAUGUAAGUCACCCCCAGCAGUUUGAGGAUUCUAAACUCAGGCCCUACGCAUUGUGGAGCAGAGUCUUCCUUGUUAUUCUUUCUCCAGAAACGCACUUUCCAACUUCCUUUGCCUGUCUAGAUCUUUCUUACUCCUUAAGCCUGUUUAGGCCUUUUCUUCUCCAGGAAGCAUUCCCUAAAUUCUUCAGUUGGGUUAAGUGGCCCUUCUCUGGGAUGCCUUAGCAUAGCUCUUCUUUAGUAUUAUCUAGGAAAUUACUUGUCUGUGUUCAUCCAUAAUUAUGUAUAUAUCCGAUCUGGCACAAAGACAUUUAGCAUAUGCUUACUAGCUGAACUGAAGAAAUGUGAACUGCACCGAGCUGGCCCCUAGGUAAACCAGCAAGCAGGAUUAAGUUUGUCUUUAGCGCCCUCUACCUUCUUCACAGCACCCUUCCAUGCCACCCUUCAAGCAUCCCUUGUCACAAUUCACUUUCAGUAUCACUAAGUGAUAACUAAAAACGACAUUAACUUACAGCUUGUCUUGUAAGCUCAUAGGGCAGAAGCCUUAAAGAGCAGUAUUUGGGUAAAUGGAUUUGCUAAAGUCUAAUCUUAGAACAUGAUCUUAUGCCAGUGAUUUGAGCUGAACUCCCUUCUCUGUAUUCUUGGCAAGGAAGGCAAGGGAGAGCAGAGCCUGGAGAAAGAAUCACACUGCAGCAUAGAUAAGUGACCAAGAGGACAGAACGAGGCGGGUGGAUUGCUUGAGCCCAGGAGUUCGAGACCAGCCUGGGCAACAUGGCCAAACUCUUUCUCUACAAAACAAAAAUUAGCCAGACAUGGUGGUGCAUGCCUGUAGUCUCAGCUACUCCAGAGGCUGAGGUGGGAGGAUGGCUUGAACCCAGAGGCUGAUGCUGCAGUGAGCUAUGGUCAUGCCACUGCACUCCAGCCUGGGCGACAGAGUGAGACCCUGUCUCAAAACAAAACAAAACAAAAACUGCUAGGGAGAGUGAGAGCCAGGGAAAAGUCAGGAUUCCGGGAAUAGGCAGGAAUAUGUCUCUUCCAUACCUGUCCCACCUUGGGUGUUCACUCCUAUUGUAACUUUAGUCACUGCAUUAGCACUUUGAGGGGUUAUUUGGUCAGGACACCGCUCCCCACCCCCACCCCAUGCCAACAAUUAUACUCUAAGACACCAUUCCUCUUACACAAUUUAUUUGACCAGAGGUGGACCCAACCUGGGUUAGAGUCUCACCUCUGGGAAUUUGGAAUUGUGAUAGCCUCCCCAUGUGGUCAGAGCUAUUUGUAACAGUAAAGCUGGAGAGUGGCCGGCCUGUACAACGUGGACUAGAGAGGCAGAGGUGAGGGACAGGAGCACUGACGGUGCUGCAGUCCUGGGCAUCAGACCCCUUCUGUCCGUCCCAGGUUCUGAUAAUCUCCCCAUACCUAGCAUCCUUAAAAUAAUCUUCCUUUUCCCUUUUUGACUUCUGGUCACUUGGAUUGCUGUUACUUGCAAUCAAAGAAUUCUAACACAGCUAUGGUUCUAAUUAAUUCUAACUAAUAGAGCUAAUACACUAAUAAUUCUACCUAGUACAGCUAUGUGUGCUGAGAUGCCCUGGGGCACUACGUUGCAUUGGCAGGGGUGCUUUGUUAUGUUUGUCUUUUAUUUGGUUCAAGUUAUUUUGUUGUCUUUGAACAGACUGUGAGAGGGAUGGGAAAGACUGGUGCUUGGGGUGGCCAUCUGACCCCUGAUGGACAGGAGACCAGGACAAGCCCACUGGAUGAGCCGGAGGGGUCCAGGAGGAGGGAGUUGAGAGCUCCUGCUAGGGUUGACACAUUCUGGUAAGGAGUUCAUCUGCUGUCCACCAGGUAGGUGGUGUGCAAAUACAACUAAGCAUUCAUGUUUAAGGUUUUUUUUUAAUUUUUUAUUUUUCGAGGCAGAGUCUCCAUUGCCCAGGCUGGAGUGCAAUGGCGCCAUCUCGGCUCACUACAACCCCUGCCUCCCAGAUUAAAGUGCUUAUCCUCCCUCAGCCUCCUGAGUAGCUGGAAUUACAGUCGUGCCUCCACGCCCAGCUAAUUUUUGUAUUUUUAGUAGAGACGGGGUUUCACCAUGUUGGCCAGGCUGGUCUCAAACUCCUGACCUCAGGUGAUUCACCCGCCUUGGCCUCCCAAAGUGCUGGGAUUACAGGCAUGAACCACUGCGCCCGGACUUAUGUUUAAGGUUAUUUAAAAAGCAAAGCAAAAUCCUAACCAUGUUGAAUUUUUGAAUCUGCAGCAGAUUCAAAUUAAUGAAUUUAAAUCAUAUAUCAGGUAAAAUACUACCUUGACAUAUUUUGUGAUCAUACUGAGAGAAAAUUAAUAUAAAGCUAAUUCAAAAUUUUUUAAUUUGUAAAUCAAAAGAUUAAACCUUGUUAAAAUUUACAAAGAAUAUGCCACUAUAAGAAGAAGUAGCUCAACUUUAUUUCAGUAAAAUCACCAACAAAACAAUAAAAAGCCAAAACUAAAAA
RNAcentral lists this long non-coding RNA (3071 nucleotides) under Homo sapiens (human). RNAcentral's name for it is "HSALNT0193501". The record is from RNAcentral. Lineage: Eukaryota; Metazoa; Chordata; Mammalia; Primates; Hominidae.